Molecule: transfer RNA, 74 nt
Filed under: Dermacentor andersoni
Lineage: Eukaryota; Metazoa; Arthropoda; Arachnida; Ixodida; Ixodidae
Description: transfer RNA threonine (anticodon CGU)
Rfam family: tRNA
About the family: Transfer RNA (tRNA) molecules are approximately 80 nucleotides in length. Their secondary structure includes four short double-helical elements and three loops (D, anti-codon, and T loops). Further hydrogen bonds mediate the characteristic L-shaped molecular structure. tRNAs have two regions of fundamental functional importance: the anti-codon, which is responsible for specific mRNA codon recognition, and the 3' end, to which the tRNAs corresponding amino acid is attached (by aminoacyl-tRNA synthetases). tRNAs cope with the degeneracy of the genetic code in two manners: having more than one tRNA (with a specific anti-codon) for a particular amino acid; and 'wobble' base-pairing, i.e. permitting non-standard base-pairing at the 3rd anti-codon position.
Source: RNAcentral
GCCGCGGUAGCUCAGUUGGUUAGAGCGUCGCACGCGUAAUGCGAAGGCGUGGGAUCAAUUCCCCACCUGCGGCA